AACGAAACGCUGGGCGGCGGGUACUAAGGCAUGCAAGUCGAAACGCCAAAGGAGAAGAAGCUUGCUUCUCUCCCUAGAGUGGCGGACUGGGUGAGGAAACACGUGGGGUAAUCUGCCCUUAAGAUGGGGGAUAGGCUGCUAGAAAAUAAGCAGGUAAUACCGAAAUACAACUCGGCGCUUCAUAAAGAGGGUGUUGAGGAAAAGGAAAGCUAUGGCUUCGCUUGAGGAUGAGCUUGCGUCCCAUUAGCUAGUUGGUGAGGUAAAGGCUCACCAAGGCGACGAUGGGUAUCCGGCCUGAGAGGGUGAUCGGACACAUUGGGACUGAGAUACGGCCCAAACUCCUACGGGAGGCAGCAGCUAAGAAUAUUCCGCAAUGGACGGAAGUCUGACGGAGCGACGCCGCGUGGAUGAAGAAGGCUGAAAAGUUGUAAAAUCCUUUUGUUGAUGAAGAAUAAGGGUGAGAGGGAAUGCUCAUCUGAUGACGGUAAUCGACGAAUAAGCCCCGGCUAAUUACGUGCCAGCAGCCGCGGUAACACGUAAGGGGCGAGCGUUGUUCGGAAUUAUUGGGCGUAAAGGGCAUGUAGGCGGUUGUGUAAGCCUGGUGUGAAAUCCUGGGGCUUAACCCCAGAAUAGCAUUGGGUACUGCACGACUUGAAUUACGGAAGGGAAACUGGAAUUCCAAGUGUAGGGGUGGAAUCUGUAGAUAUUUGGAAGAACACCGGUGGCGAAGGCGGGUUUCUGGCCGAUAAUUGACGCUGAGAUGCGAAAGUGUGGGGAUCGAACAGG
This 786-nucleotide ribosomal RNA is filed under the name uncultured Treponema sp. RNAcentral's name for it is "bacterial SSU rRNA". It matches the Rfam family "Bacterial small subunit ribosomal RNA", at positions 28 to 776 of the family's 1533-position model. The record is from RNAcentral. Lineage: Bacteria; Pseudomonadati; Spirochaetota; Spirochaetia; Treponematales; Treponemataceae.